RNAcentral lists this non-coding RNA (786 nucleotides) under Megaselia spiracularis. Lineage: Eukaryota; Metazoa; Arthropoda; Insecta; Diptera; Phoridae. The record is from RNAcentral.
AUAAAGUUUUAUUUUAGCUUUAAUAUUUAUUUUUAAUAUAAUUUAUAUACAAGUUUUUGCGUGAAUUUUAAUUUAUUUUAAUAAUAAAUUAGACUUAAUUAAUUGUAGUAAUUAGUUUUAUUAAUUAAAGAAAUUUAGAAAUAGUAAUAUUAAAUAGUAUUGACUAAAUUUGUGCCAGCAGUCGCGGUUAGACAAAAGAUGCAAAUAAAUAUUUUUAGUUUAGAGUUAAAUAGUUUAUUAAUAAAUUAAAAGUAAUUAUAUUAGGUGAAAUUUUAUAAUUAUAAUAAUUUUGAUUGAAUAAUUGAAGCUCAGAAAUUUUAGAUAUAAACUAGGAUUAGAUACCCUAUUAUUUAAAAUGUAAAUUUUAAACUAGAGUAUUAAUAGUUAUAUUCUUUAAACUUAAAAAAUUUGGCGGUAUUUUAGUCUGUUCAGAGGAACCUGUUUUGUAAUCGAUAAUCCACGAUGAACCUUACUUGAAUUUAUUUAUUAGUUUGUAUACCGUCGUUAUAGAAAAUUUUAUAAGAAUAAUAAUUUUCAAUAAAUUUAAUAAAAUUGUAUAUCAGAUCAAGGUGCAGCAUAUGUUUAAGUUAAUAAUGGGUUACAAUAAAUUUAUUUAUAUGGAAAUAAAUAUGAAAAAUUUAUGGAAAGUGGAUUUGAAAGUAAAAUUAUAAAGAUUAAUAAUUUGAUUUUAGCUCUAAAAUAUGUACAUAUCGCCCGUCACUCUUAUUAUUAAGAUAAGAUAAGUCGUAACAUAGUAGAUGUACUGGAAAGUGUAUCUAGAAUUCA